RNAcentral lists this long non-coding RNA (339 nucleotides) under Ananas comosus (pineapple). RNAcentral describes it as "long non-coding RNA (ACOM_LNC043428)". Lineage: Eukaryota; Viridiplantae; Streptophyta; Magnoliopsida; Poales; Bromeliaceae. The record is from RNAcentral.
UGCGAAGGCUAAUUGAUUCGGUUAUGAUGGAACUUCUUUAAGGGCGUGUUUGGUUCGAAGUCGGAGUCGGAAUCGGAAUCGGAAUCGGAAUCAAAAUAAGCUGGAAUUGGAAUCAGAAUAACUCAUUACCUAAUUCUGUUUAGUUCAUCCCUGAAUCGGAAUCGGAAUAAAUCAUUCCCAUUGUCAGUGUUUGGUUCAGGAGGAUAUAAAAAAUAUAAUCAAAUUAAUAUACUAACAUUAUCUUUAUAAUAUAUUAAUUUAAAUUCAAAUUAAAAAUUAAAUAAUAAAAAUUUAUAUCAAAAUUUUGAAAUAAUGUCAAAAUUUCAUAUCUAUUUUUUA